UGGGGAAUCUUAGACAAUGGGGGAAACCCUGAUCUAGCCAUGCCGCGUGGACGAUGAAGGCCUUAGGGUUGUAAAGUCCUUUCAGCUGGGAAGAUAAUGACGGUACCAGCAGAAGAAGCCCCGGCUAACUCCGUGCCAGCAGCCGCGGUAAUACGGAGGGGGCUAGCGUUGUUCGGAAUUACUGGGCGUAAAGCGCACGUAGGCGGACUGGAAAGUUGGAGGUGAAAUCCCAGGGCUCAACCUUGGAACUGCCUUCAAAACUAUCAGUCUAGAGUUCGAGAGAGGUGAGUGGAAUUCCGAGUGUAGAGGUGAAAUUCGUAGAUAUUCGGAGGAACACCAGUGGCGAAGGCGGCUCACUGGCUCGAUACUGACGCUGAGGUGCGAAAGCGUGGGGAGCAAACA
RNAcentral lists this ribosomal RNA (402 nucleotides) under uncultured prokaryote. Its description in RNAcentral is "bacterial SSU rRNA". It matches the Rfam family "Bacterial small subunit ribosomal RNA", at positions 355 to 774 of the family's 1533-position model. The record is from RNAcentral.